This 748-nucleotide long non-coding RNA is filed under the name Marmota monax (woodchuck). The record is from RNAcentral. Lineage: Eukaryota; Metazoa; Chordata; Mammalia; Rodentia; Sciuridae.
CUUGACCACUGUGUCACCUCCCUUUUUUGUAUUUUAUUUAGAGACAGGGUCUCACUGAGUUGCUUAGUGCCUUGCUGCUGCUGAGGCUGGCUGUGAACUAGCAAUCCUCCCGCCUCACCUCCCAAGCCGCUGGCCUUACAGGCUUGUGUCACGGUGCCUGGCUGGAUCUGGGUUUUAAACUGAGUGAAAUGGGAGCCCUGGGCAGGUGCUGUGCAGAUCUGACUCAGAUUUUCACAGGUGUCUUGGUUGGCUUCUGUUGCUGUAACAGAUACCUGGAAGAGGGAGUGUUCAUGUAUCUGUAAACACGAGAGGUUUAUUUAGAGCACAAUACUGGAGCUGGAAAGCCCAACAGCAUGGUGCUGGCAUCUGCUCGGCGUCAGCCUGGCAUCUGGUGAGGGCCUCAUGCUGCGUCACCAUGGCAGUGCAAGCCGUUGGCUCAGGUCUCUCUUCCUCUGAUAAAGUCACUGAUGUGUUGCCACCAAAGGUGGCACAGACCUAUAAUUCCAGCAAUUUGGGAGGCGGAGGCAAGUUCCAGGCGGAGGCAAGUUCCAGGCCAGCUGGGCAACUUGCAAGAUCCUUAGCUACUUAGCACGUCCCUGUCUUAGAAAAUAAAAAGGACUGUGGAUGGGGCUGGGCUGGGGCUCAGUGGUAGAGCAUUUGCCGAGCACAGGUGAGUUCCUGGCAGACCCUAACGCUGAGCCACUCCCAUCCACAGAGACCAGGUUUCUCAACCAAAGCUGUUUUACCU